CCCCCCCCCCCCCCCCCCCCCCCCCCCCCCCCCCCCCCCCCCCCCCCCCCCCCCCCCCCCCCCCCCCCCCCCCCCCCCCCCCCCCCCCCCCCGGGAAUGUGGGACAAGGAAAGCCCCUGCCGGGGGUGGGGGGUGGGUGCAUGGAGAAGGGGACGCAGCCCCUUGCGCACGGGUACAGCCGGGAGAGGAGCGAGGGCAGGGCUGACAGCACUGCACGGUGCGUGGCUGCUCUCCCCGCUGCCGCGGGAGGAUGAGGCCGUGCUUUUGCAGGGAGCUUGGGCUAUUGCGAAGCUUUGCCGUGUGUUGUAUUCCCUGUCCGGCUUCCUGAGCUCCAGCUCCAUCUCGCACCACUGCCAUGAGUUUUACCUCUUGUCUCUUCACCUUGGGCUCCCGGCCCGGCUUAUCACUGGAGAAAUCCCACCCGCUCUUUUUACUGCCACAGGGCUACAGAGGCAGCGAGGGUUGGAGCCAGAGCCCUGGUGCAGGAUGCUCUGUUUGCCAGAGCUGUGGCUAGUUUUGCCCCAGAUUUAAAGCUCCACUGGCUUUCAGGGAAAGGCGGCGUGAGCCAGCCGCGGGCAGGGCAGUGCCGCCGCCCCGCUCCGGUGCACCGGCGUGAGCAGAAUCAGCCUCAUCUCAGAGUGGGGUCUGCGACCUCCCUACUUGUCUGCGGGGGUCUCUGCACACAGGAGACCCCUUUCCUCCUCAUGCCCGACCCUGGCAAAGUUUGGAGCAGAGGACGAACACCUCAUCACUCCCAACUCUGUGAGCCAGCAGCCAUGUGCUCCUCACAGCUGGAUCUUCUCGCCAGCAUGCCCGGAGCCUUCCCGCCCGGGCAAAGGGACAGCGCAGCCCCCGGAGGCUGUGGAGCUCUCCCCAUCUCCUGCACGGCAGGAGGAGGGCCUGGGGCAUUGGCUGCUGGGGAGCCCAGAGGAAGCCGCCUUUCCCUGGGGAUCCUGGCAGGGGUGGGGAUCGUGGCUGACCGACUCCCAGGGCUGGUUCCCCAGAUUGGAGCCGGUAGCAGUGCCGAGCUGUGCCAAUGCCGAGCCGUGCCGGGCGGGUGGGUGACAAUGGGUGACGCCAGGGAGCAGACCGAAAGGUGCCCGUGGCUAAUCAGCUCCCACCCGCCGUGUUUGCCCAGCAGUGCCCGGGAGCGCUGCUCCCGCCCGGCGUUGUCGCUGUGA
Molecule: long non-coding RNA, 1181 nt
Filed under: Ficedula albicollis (Collared flycatcher)
Lineage: Eukaryota; Metazoa; Chordata; Aves; Passeriformes; Muscicapidae
Description: lncRNA (ENSFALG00000024226.1)
Source: RNAcentral